RNAcentral lists this small nuclear RNA (350 nucleotides) under Echinops telfairi (small Madagascar hedgehog). Its description in RNAcentral is "7SK RNA (ENSETEG00000024551.1)". The stretch from base 1 to 291 matches the Rfam family "7SK RNA". From Rfam's summary of the family: 7SK was discovered as an abundant small nuclear RNA in the mid-70s but a possible function has only recently been suggested. Lineage: Eukaryota; Metazoa; Chordata; Mammalia; Afrosoricida; Tenrecidae. The record is from RNAcentral.
GGGUGGGAAGGUGAUCUGGCUGCGAUAUCUGUCACCCCAUGGGUCGCCAGAGUUGAUGUGGCUGAUCUGACUGGCUAGGCGGGUGUCCCCUUCCUCCCUCACCGCUCCGGGUGCAUCCCUCCUGAAGCUGCAAGUUCAGUUGAAGAGGACCAACCUUCCCCCAAAGAAGGAGGACCAUCCUUCGGUCAAGGGUAUCUGAGUAGCUGUGCUCCCCUACUGGAACCUCCAAACCAGUCUCAAGAAGGUGUGUGUGUGCUGGGGUGUAGAAGACAGGGGGCCAAGAGGAUCAAGGAGUGGACAGGAAAAGGUCAGGCAGGGACUUGUAGGUCAUAUUAAAAACCUGGAUCUUU